RNAcentral lists this ribosomal RNA (762 nucleotides) under uncultured fungus. Its description in RNAcentral is "eukaryotic LSU rRNA". It matches the Rfam family "Eukaryotic large subunit ribosomal RNA", at positions 30 to 821 of the family's 3401-position model. The record is from RNAcentral. Lineage: Eukaryota; Fungi.
GAACUUAAGCAUAUCAAUAAGCGGAGGAAAAGAAACCAACAGGGAUUGCCUCAGUAACGGCGAGUGAAGCGGCAACAGCUCAAAUUUGAAAUCUGGCCGCAAGGUCCGAGUUGUAAUUUGUAGAGGAUGCUUUUGGCGAGGUGCCUUCCGAGUUCCCUGGAACGGGACGCCAUAGAGGGUGAGAGCCCCGUACGGUAGGACCACCAAGCCUCUGUAAAGCUCCUUCGACGAGUCGAGUAGUUUGGGAAUGCUGCUCUAAAUGGGAGGUGUACGUCUUCUAAAGCUAAAUACCGGCCAGAGACCGAUAGCGCACAAGUAGAGUGAUCGAAAGAUGAAAAGCACUUUGAAAAGAGGGUUAAAAAGUACGUGAAAUUGUUGAAAGGGAAGCAUUCAUGACCAGACUUGGGCUUGGUUGAACAUCCGGCGUUCUCGCCGGUGCACUCUGCCAGUCCAGGCCAGCAUCAGUUUGCCCCGGGGGAUAAAGGCGGCGGGAAUGUGGCUCCCUUCGGGGAGUGUUAUAGCCCGUCGUGUAAUGCCCUGGGGCGGACUGAGGAACGCGCUUCGGCACGGAUGCUGGCGUAAUGGUCAUCAAUGACCCGUCUUGAAACACGGACCAAGGAGUCGUCUUCGUAUGCGAGUGUUCGGGUGUCAAACCCCUACGCGUAAUGAAAGUGAACGUAGGUGAGAGCUUCGGCGCAUCGCCGACCGAUCCUGAUGUUCUCGGAUGGAUUUGAGUAAGAGCAUACGGGGCCGGACCCGAAA